GACGAACGCUGGCGGCGUGCUUAACACAUGCAAGUCGAACGGAAAGGCCCUGCUUUUGUGGGGUGCUCGAGUGGCGAACGGGUGAGUAACACGUGAGUAACCUGCCCUUGACUUUGGGAUAACUUCAGGAAACUGGGGCUAAUACCGGAUAGGAGCUCCUGCUGCAUGGUGGGGGUUGGAAAGUUUCGGCGGUUGGGGAUGGACUCGCGGCUUAUCAGCUUGUUGGUGGGGUAGUGGCUUACCAAGGCUUUGACGGGUAGCCGGCCUGAGAGGGUGACCGGCCACAUUGGGACUGAGAUAGGGCCCAGAGUCCUACGGGAGGCAGAAGUGGGGAAUAUUGCACAAUGGGCGGACGCCUGAUGCAGCAACGCCGCGUGCGGGAUGACGGCCUUCGGGUUGUAAAACGCUUUCGCCUGUGACGAAGCGUGAGUGACGGUAAUGGGUAAAGAAGCACCGGCUAACUACGUG
Molecule: ribosomal RNA, 468 nt
Filed under: uncultured bacterium
Lineage: Bacteria
Description: partial 16S ribosomal RNA
Rfam family: Bacterial small subunit ribosomal RNA
Source: RNAcentral